GCUGGGCGUGGUGGUGCAUGCCUGUAAUCCCAGCAGCACAGGAGGCUGAGGCAGGAGGAUCAUGAGUUCAAAGCCAGCCUCAGCAAAAAGUGAGGCAUUAAGCAACUCAGUGAGACCCUAUUUCUA
This 126-nucleotide small RNA is filed under the name Marmota monax (woodchuck). Lineage: Eukaryota; Metazoa; Chordata; Mammalia; Rodentia; Sciuridae. The record is from RNAcentral.